Long non-coding RNA from Ostrea edulis (European flat oyster), 452 nucleotides. RefSeq lists it as uncharacterized. The record is from RefSeq and is a predicted model, not a curated record. Lineage: Eukaryota; Metazoa; Mollusca; Bivalvia; Ostreida; Ostreidae. The transcript is spliced from 4 exons.
UCCGAGACUCCAACGCGACCUACCUCAGACCCGGUGAAUUUUCUACCGGAUAUGGAUGUGCUUUAAGGAAUUCCAAUGUUAAUUGUACUUUUUGGGGACUUUGAGUGAUUCACCACCCUUUGAACAAAUGUAUUUUGAGAUCCUCAAAGGAAUCCUAGAUUUGUCAAGAAGCCAUGUUUUAAUUGCUGCCCAUCAAAUAGUACUGUGUCUUGCAUGUGUAAAUUAGAUUCAUUUUGAGGAAAUAGCUGGUGUGCAGUGCACAUUCCUAAAUGAAUUCAUCAGUUUACAUUAAGGAUCUACCUUCAAAUCCUGUAAUCUGGGAUGCUCUAAAGUGCAUGUCACAGACUAAAGUUAUAAAAAUAACUUCCAAGAUUUUUUAAGAAAUUGUUAUAACUUUGAAAUGUAUGUAUAUACAUGUAUACUGAUAUUGAAUUAAAUUUUAUAAAAUUUCA